AUGUUGUUAUCAUCAGAGAAAGAGGGAGGGAAUGUGAGACCAAAUGUGAUGAUGAGAGAUUUCCGUAAUUGUCUGGGAGAAUGUGGACUAGCAGAUAUGGGUUGUAUGGGUGACUUAUUUACAUGGAGGAGGGGCGAAAUCAGGGAAAGACUAGAUCGAGCGGUCUGUAAUGUGGAUUGGGCGAAUAAAUUCCCUCGAGCGGCGGUUAUUAACGAAGAACAUGUACACUCAGACCAUCGCCCUAUUAUUUUAGACACGGAAUAUUUUGAC
RNAcentral lists this ribosomal RNA (270 nucleotides) under Triticum aestivum (bread wheat). RNAcentral's name for it is "partial small subunit ribosomal RNA". The record is from RNAcentral. Lineage: Eukaryota; Viridiplantae; Streptophyta; Magnoliopsida; Poales; Poaceae.